This 171-nucleotide ribosomal RNA is filed under the name uncultured Pseudomonadota bacterium. RNAcentral's name for it is "uncultured proteobacterium partial 16S ribosomal RNA". It matches the Rfam family "Bacterial small subunit ribosomal RNA", at positions 338 to 524 of the family's 1533-position model. The record is from RNAcentral. Lineage: Bacteria; Pseudomonadati; Pseudomonadota.
CCUACGGGAGGCAGCAGUGAGGAAUAUUGGGCAAUGGGCGAAAGCCUGACCCAGCAACGCCGCGUGAGGGAUGAAGGCCUUCGGGUUGUAAACCUCUUUUCUGGGAGAAGAGACAAGGACGGUAUCCCAGGAAUAAGUCUCGGCUAACUACGUGCCAGCAGCCGCGGUAAU